This is a long non-coding RNA of Quercus lobata, 190 nucleotides long. RefSeq lists it as uncharacterized. The transcript has 3 exons. NCBI's taxonomy places the organism in Eukaryota, Viridiplantae, Streptophyta, Magnoliopsida, Fagales, Fagaceae. The record is from RefSeq and is a predicted model, not a curated record.
GUUCUUUUUGCUGUGCAGGCAUUAUUCAAUGGCCUUGCAUGGGCGCCAUGGGUACCAUUCAUGUGUGCCACAUUUAAAGUGGUAGUUGUCCUUGUAAGACCUGCUACUUAUGCCAUUAUUUCAAGAGCAUCAAGCUCAAACGACCAGGUUUGGAAAAUACCUAUGAUCCCAUUACCUACAGUUUUGCAUU